GCAGGAGAAGGAGAAGAAGAUGUUGGAGAAGAUGACCGGAGACAGUCUCGUUGAGUACUCCUUUAAGAACAAGGGUACUGCGAAGACAUAGGCCCCUUCCUCUAGCACCAAUUCUGUUGGUGCAGAAUUCCACCGACGUCAGAGAAGCUAGAGUUGAGGGGAUUGCAUUCGCCAUCGGAACCUGUAAGGAAAGUCUAAACCGAAGUUGGGGGUGCUCCGGCAAGACCCUCCAAAGCUCAAGUCAG
Molecule: long non-coding RNA, 245 nt
Filed under: Elaeis guineensis (African oil palm)
Lineage: Eukaryota; Viridiplantae; Streptophyta; Magnoliopsida; Arecales; Arecaceae
Description: long non-coding RNA (EGUI_LNC061987)
Source: RNAcentral